Molecule: ribosomal RNA, 432 nt
Filed under: uncultured bacterium
Lineage: Bacteria
Description: partial 16S ribosomal RNA
Rfam family: Bacterial small subunit ribosomal RNA
Source: RNAcentral
CCUACGGGUGGCUGCAGUAGGGAAUAUUGCACAAUGGACGAAAGUCUGAUGCAGCGACGCCGCGUGAGUGAUGAAGGCCUUCGGGUUGUAAAGCUCUGUGAUAAGGGAGACGGUACCUUAUCAGAAAGGACCGGCUAACUUCGUGCCAGCAGCCGCGGUAAUACGAGGGGUCCAAGCGUUGUUCGGAAUCACUGGGCGUAAAGCGGGUGUAGGUGGCUCUGCAAGUCACAUGUGAAAGCCCUGGGCUCAACCCAGGAAGUGCAUGUGAUACUACAGAGCUUGAGUAAGGGAGAGGAUGGCAGAAUUCCAGGUGUAGUGGUGAAAUACGUAGAUAUCUGGAGGAACUCCGGUGGCGAAGGCGGCCAUCUGGCCCAUACUGACACUCAGACCCGAAAGCGUGGGUAGCAAACAGGAUUAGAUACCCUUGUAGUC